This 65-nucleotide transfer RNA is filed under the name Philanthus triangulum (European beewolf). RNAcentral describes it as "tRNA-Arg". The record is from RNAcentral. Lineage: Eukaryota; Metazoa; Arthropoda; Insecta; Hymenoptera; Crabronidae.
AUAUAUAAAGUAAAAUUUACAUUUAAUUUCGACUUAAAAAUUAGUUAAUAUAUAACUUAUAUAUA